UACAGAGGGGGCAAGCGUUAUUCGGAAUUAUUGGGCGUAAAGGGCGCGUAGGCGGCCUGACAAGUGGAAGGUGAAAUCCCUCGGCUCAACUGAGGAACUGCCCUCCAAACUGUUUGGCUUGAGCCCGGGAGAGGUGAGUGGAAUUCCGAGUGUAGAGGUGAAAUUCGUAGAUAUUCGGAAGAACACCAGUGGCGAAGGCGGCUCACUGGACUGGUAUUGACGCUGAGGUGCGAAAGCGUGGGGAGCAAACAGG
This 253-nucleotide ribosomal RNA is filed under the name uncultured bacterium. RNAcentral describes it as "partial 16S ribosomal RNA". It matches the Rfam family "Bacterial small subunit ribosomal RNA", at positions 524 to 776 of the family's 1533-position model. The record is from RNAcentral.